Molecule: long non-coding RNA, 480 nt
Filed under: Pan troglodytes (chimpanzee)
Lineage: Eukaryota; Metazoa; Chordata; Mammalia; Primates; Hominidae
Description: long non-coding RNA NONPTRT006607
Source: RNAcentral
GAGUGAAGGCAGGCUGGACUCGCGGGCUCAAGCUGGGAAGGAGCAUGCGCGGAGAGAGCAGCCUGGGCGCCGAGGCAGCGGGGUGCUCGGUUCCCGGAGUGAUGGCGGAUGAGGCUGCCUGUGAGCGUGUCCGAGGCGGUCCUGUGAUGUUAAAGCAGCAAUGCCUUCCUCGGCCGUGGCGGUGGGUUACAAGUGAAGCUGAAUCUUGAAGGUACCCAAGCCUCCGCCUCCGCGCAACUCGGCAGCGGCAGGGAAAGAGAAGGAAUCAAUAACUCUCUAGGUAACUUGAAAUCAGACAUUUUUAACUACAUUUGCAACUUCAGAAAUGAUACAAGAUGUGCGCCUUGCAAAAGCCAAUUCAAACAGUACAGAAGGGCAUAAAGUAAAAAGAAAAACUGCUCCUCCCCGCAAAGCCCUGCCCCAGUAGCGUGUAUACUUUCCUAAUAUUAGUCUAUGCACAAGCACAUAAAUGAAUAUUUU